Molecule: ribosomal RNA, 1261 nt
Filed under: uncultured bacterium
Lineage: Bacteria
Description: partial 16S ribosomal RNA
Source: RNAcentral
CUCCGACUUCAUGGGGUCGAGUUGCAGACCCCAAUCCGAACUGAGACCGGCUUUUUGGGAUUCGCUCCACCUUACGGUAUCGCAGCCCUCUGUACCGGCCAUUGUAGCAUGCGUGAAGCCCAAGACAUAAGGGGCAUGAUGAUUUGACGUCAUCCCCACCUUCCUCCGAGUUGACCCCGGCAGUCUCCCAUGAGUCCCCGGCAUAACCCGCUGGCAACAUAGGACGAGGGUUGCGCUCGUUGCGGGACUUAACCCAACAUCUCACGACACGAGCUGACGACAACCAUGCACCACCUGUGUACGAGUGUCCAAAGAGAACCCCGUCUCGGGGGCUUUCUCGUACAUGUCAAGCCUUGGUAAGGUUCUUCGCGUUGCAUCGAAUUAAUCCGCAUGCUCCGCCGCUUGUGCGGGCCCCCGUCAAUUCCUUUGAGUUUUAGCCUUGCGGCCGUACUCCCCAGGCGGGGCACUUAAUGCGUUAGCUGCGGCACGGAACUCGUGGAAUGAGCCCCACACCUAGUGCCCAACGUUUACGGCAUGGACUACCAGGGUAUCUAAUCCUGUUCGCUCCCCAUGCUUUCGCUCCUCAGCGUCAGUUGCGGCCCAGAGACCUGCCUUCGCCAUCGGUGUUCCUCCUGAUAUCUGCGCAUUCCACCGCUACACCAGGAAUUCCAGUCUCCCCUACCGCACUCUAGUCUGCCCGUACCCGAUGCAAGCCCGAGGUUGAGCCUCGGGAUUUCACACCAGACGCGACAGACCGCCUACGAGCUCUUUACGCCCAAUAAUUCCGGACAACGCUUGCGCCCUACGUAUUACCGCGGCUGCUGGCACGUAGUUAGCCGGCGCUUCUUCUGCAGGUACCGUCACUUGCGCUUCUUCCCUGCUGAAAGAGGUUUACAACCCGAAGGCCGUCAUCCCUCACGCGGCGUCGCUGCAUCAGGCUUGCGCCCAUUGUGCAAUAUUCCCCACUGCUGCCUCCCGUAGGAGUCUGGGCCGUGUCUCAGUCCCAGUGUGGCCGGUCGCCCUCUCAGGCCGGCUACCCGUCGACGCUUUGGUAGGCCAUCACCCCACCAACAAGCUGAUAGGCCGCGAGCCCAUCCCCCACCGAAAAACUUUCCAACCCACACCAUGCGAUGCGAGCUCAUAUCCGGUAUUAGACCCCGUUUCCAAGGCUUAUCCCGAAGUGGAGGGCAGGUUGCUCACGUGUUACUCACCCGUUCGCCACUGAUCCACCCAGCAAGCUGGGCUUCACCGUUCGACUGCA